CCUACGGGAGGCAGCAGUGAGGAAUAUUGGUCAAUGGGCGCAAGCCUGAACCAGCCAAGUCGCGUGAGGGAUGACGGUCCUAUGGAUUGUAAACCUCUUUUGUCGGGGAGCAAGGCCCGCCACGUGUGGCGGGAAGGAGAGUACCCGAAGAAAAAGCAUCGGCUAACUCCGGGCCAGCAGCCGCGGUAAUACGGAGGAUGCGAGCGUUAUCCGGAUUUAGUGGGUUAAAAGGGUGCGUAGGCGGAAGGUUAAGGUAGUGGUAAAAUGUCGGUGCUCAACACCGGCCUGCCGUUGAAACUGGUCUGCUUGAGUGAGCGAGAAGUAUGCGGAAUGCGUGGUGUAGCGGUGAAAUGCAUAGAUAUCACGCAGAACUCCGAUUGCGAAGGCAGCAUACCGGCGCUCAACUGACGCUGAGGCACGAAAGCGUGGGGAUCGAACAGGAUUAGAUACCCGGGUAGUC
RNAcentral lists this ribosomal RNA (460 nucleotides) under uncultured bacterium. RNAcentral describes it as "partial 16S ribosomal RNA". It matches the Rfam family "Bacterial small subunit ribosomal RNA", at positions 338 to 795 of the family's 1533-position model. The record is from RNAcentral.